AACGAACGCUGGCGGCAGGCUUAACACAUGCAAGUCGAGCGCAUCCUUCGGGGUGAGCGGCGGACGGGUGAGUAACGCGUGGGAACGUGCCCUCUUCUACGGAAUAGCCUCGGGAAACUGAGAGUAAUGCCGUAUACGCCCGCAAGGGGAAAGAUUUAUCGGAGGAGGAUCGGCCCGCGUUGGAUUAGGUAGUUGGUGUCGUAACGGCCUACCAAGCCGACGAUCCAUAGCUGGUUUGAGAGGAUGAUCAGCCACACUGGGACUGAGACACGGCCCAGACUCCUACGGGAGGCAGCAGUGGGGAAUCUUGGACAAUCGGGGCAACCCUGAUCCAGCCAUGCCGCGUGAUCGAUGAAGGCCUUAGGGUUGUAAAGAUCUUUCAGCUGGGAAGAUAAUGACGGUACCAGCAGAAGAAGCCCCGGCUAACUCCGUG
Molecule: ribosomal RNA, 433 nt
Filed under: uncultured bacterium
Lineage: Bacteria
Description: partial 16S ribosomal RNA
Rfam family: Bacterial small subunit ribosomal RNA
Source: RNAcentral